GAGGGGGAUAUUCAUGAUGAGCGUAGCCUUGAUGCAGAAAACAGAAAGGGAAAAUUUCUAGGCCGAUUUCACUGAACAAAGAUGCAAAAAUCCCCAAACCAAAAUGGCCAGCAAACCAAAUUCUGCAACACACAAGUAAGUAUACACCAUGACCAAGUUGGAUCUAUCCAGGAGGAAUGCGGGGCUGGUUUGACAUUAGAAAAAUCCAUAUAAUUUGUUACAUUAACAGAAUACAUGAAAUAAAUAUGAUCAUCUCAUAUAGAUGCAGUAAACCAUCUAAUAAAAUUCUACAUCCAUAUAUCUUUUUGUAAAAAAGUAAUUUUUAACAAACCAGAAGGGAACUUCCUAAAUCUGAUAAAAAUUAUGUACCAAAACCCUAAAAUAAACAUUAAUGGUAAGUUCUCUAGUGUGUCCCUAUUGGGUGCAGUUUGGAAACCUAAGUUUUGACUUCUUCCUUCAUUUUUUUUUAAUGUUUAUUUAUUUUUGAGACACAGAGACAGAGACAGAGUGCAGGUGGAGGAGGGGCAGAGAAAGAGAGGGAGACAGAAUCCGAAGCAGGCUCCAGGCUCCGAGCUGUCAUCACAGAGCCCGACGCGGGGCUCGAACUCACAAGCUGUGAGAUCAUGACCUGAGCUGAAGUUGGACGCUUAACCGACUGAGCCACCCAGUUGUUGGCAUCUACCCAAGAUGUUCCUUGGGGUAUGUGGAGGAGAAGCUGUCCCAAAGCUCUGUGUAGUGGCCGAGAGGAUCUCACUGAAGAGCUGAGAACAGCAUGUCAGAGAGACCACCGCUUGAAAGCCUGUCGUGCUUACAGACUCCUUUCGAAAGAGGCCGCCCCGACCACAACCCGCCAAGCAGGUAGCAACGCAGUCUGUUUCUUCAGCAUGGGUGACCAUGUUGUCUAGCAUGUGAGCCGUCCAUCCUAGCCACAGGUGGAGCAGGAGAGGACACCUGGCUCAGAGGUAGCCAGCCUAUGGGCUGCUCAGUGGCUUCC
Molecule: long non-coding RNA, 994 nt
Organism: Panthera uncia (snow leopard)
Lineage: Eukaryota; Metazoa; Chordata; Mammalia; Carnivora; Felidae
Exons: 2
Source: RefSeq, a predicted model, not a curated record